RNAcentral lists this ribosomal RNA (1433 nucleotides) under metagenome. RNAcentral describes it as "bacterial SSU rRNA". It matches the Rfam family "Archaeal small subunit ribosomal RNA". The record is from RNAcentral.
UCCCGUUGGUCCUGCGGGGGAUUGCUGCUAUUGGGAUCCGAUUUAGCCAUGCAAGUCACGGGGACCUUCGGGUCACCGGCAAACCGCUCAGUAACACGUCAAUAAUCUGCCCUAUGGUCAGGGAUAGCCUCGGAAAACUGAGGGUAAAACCUGAUAGGAAAUAAAAUCUGGAAGGGUUUAUUCCUCAAACUCGUGCCGUAGGAUGAGUUGGCGGUCGAUUAGGUUGUUGGUGGGGUAAAGGCCCACCAAGCCUAAGAUCGAUAGGGGCCUUGGUAGAGGUAGCCCCGAGAAGGACACUGAGAUACUGGUCCUAGCUCCACGGAGUGCAGCAGGCGCGAAACCUUUACAAUGCACGAAAGUGCGAUAGGGGGAUCCCAAGUGCUCAUACACUGUAUGGGCUUUUGCCAAGAAUGAAUACCUUGGCGAAUAAGUGGUGGGCAAGACGGGUGCCAGCCGCCGCGGUAACACCCGCGCCACGAGUGGGAAUCGCAUUACUAGGCCUAAAGCGUCCGUAGCCGGUUUUGUAAAUCUCUUGUGAAAUCGUCCUGCUUAACUUGACGGCGUGCAGGAGACACUGCAAGACUUGAGACCGGGAGGAGUUAGAGGUAUUCUUGGGGAACUGGUAAAAUGGUAUAAUCCUAAGAAGACCACCUGUGGCGAAGGCGUCUAACCAGAACGGUUCUGACGGUGAGGGACGAAAGCUAGGGGAGCGAACCGGAUUAGAUACCCGAGUAGUCCUAGCCCUAAACGCUGCGAGCUAGGUGUUGCAUAUUCUAUAUGAAUAUGCAGUGUCGAAGCGAAGGUAUUAAGCUCGCCGCCUGGGAAGUACGGUCGCAAGGCUGAAACUUUAAGGAAUUGGCGGGGGAGCACUACAAGGGGUGCGGCGUGCGGUUUAAUCUAGCUCAACGCAGAGCAUCUCACUAGAGGCGACGGCAGAAUGACAGUCAGUCUGAAGGGCUUACUUGACGAGCCGAGAGGUAGUGCAUGGCCGCCGUCAGCUCGUGCCGUAAGGUGUCCAGCUAAGUCUGGUAACGAGCGAGACCUGUAUCCAUAAUUGCUAACAGACACUCAGGUGGGACUGAGCACUUUAUGGAGACUGCCCUCGAAAGGGGGAGGAAGGUGCAGGCUACGGUAGGUCUGUAUGCUCCGAAUCUUCUAGGCUACACGCGCGCAACAAUGGUAAAGACAAUGGGCUGCAACCCCGAAAGGGGAAGCUAAUCCUCCAAACCUUACCUUAGUUCAGAUUGAGGGUUGUAACUCACCCUCAUGACGUUGGAAUCCCUAGUAAUCAGAAGUUAUCAUCUUCUGGUGAAUAUGUCCCUGCUCCUUGCACACACCGCCCGUCAAACCAACCGAGCAGUGUUUAGAUGAACUCUAUUCUUUAAAUAGUGUGAAUCUAGGCUCAGUGAGGUGGGUUAAGUCGUCACAAGGUA